CCCCCGGGGCCGCCCUGCCCCCAGGCCCCUCACCCCCAGCGGGGAAUGGGGAGAGGGAGCUUCGCCAGUGUGGCUUUGUGCCCUCGUGAGAAAGGAGAGAGAGAGGAGAGUGGAAGCCUCGGAGCACACAGAGAACAUUGAGGUCAGGGAGGCUGACGUGGUCCUGGCUCAGGAGGCAGCACUGGGGGAAGGAGUACCUCUGCCAUGUCCCCAGUCCCCACCACAGGCAGCACCAGCGGCACCCACUGCUCCAGCACCCUGGGGAGCAAGGGUAUAACUGGCUGCUGCCUCCCGGCACAGGUAAAGGCCCCAGGAGGGGAGAUUCCCACCCACCCUGCUCUUGCCAGUGCCAGCAUCCAGGAACAGGGAGAACUUACCAGAGCUCAAAUAACAACCCUGCAAUGAAUCCUUCCUGCUUCCUCUAUUUGGCAUCAUCACAGCAGUGAUUGGUAUGAACAUUUCUGAAGGUUAGGAGCAGUGCCAUACUUCCCAUCACCUUCCCUGGGAGCACCUCCUACCUCAGUACCCCACUCUCCCAGUCCAUCCCCUUGGCUGCAAAGGCAGCCCACUGUUCCCACUACCCGCACUACCCUAGGCUGUCACCUCCGGAAUCUUCCUUCCCUCGGCACUCCCACCCUGUGGAGAGCCCAUGGGAUGGUUGGGAGCUGCCUACAGCCCAGCGCCACACCUGGGCACUGCCAGGUCCCAGGGGUGGCAGUCUGUGAUGUGUCAUGUGGGUGCUCACCCCUGAGGAAAGAGCUUCAUUGAACUGCUACACUUAGAGAGAAGCAGGUUAAACAAUCUAUUUCUCAUCCCCUCCCGGCACUCCAGCAUUAUUAAAAGGUGCUGAUGUCUCCAGAUUGAUACCCAGGAGCAGAGGAUUUGCAAGGGAGGCCACCGGUAAUUGCACGCAGACAGGCUGGUUGCUCCUUCACAUGGCUGAGUGAGGUGUUCUGUGUAUCAGCUGUCACCUCUGGGCUGAACUUCACCCCUGUGCACACUUCAAGGAUCUCUUAUCCCUGAGAGGACACACAGCACGUGGGGUCCAAGCCAGUUUCCGACUCGCCUUCCCAGAGCUCUCCCUGUGUGGACACAGGAGUGCAGGGCUGACUUGCAGACACCCCACUCCAGUGUCUGUAUUGCCUAAAACCAGCUUUUCUUCCCCACUGUCCCUACAGGCAGUUUAAUGUGUUUUUAGAUUUAAUGCCAUCACUUUUCACCCUGUGCACUCUGCUUUUCUCUGCACAUCCCUGUAUACCCCCUAUUGUAUCUCCCUGUGCCGUGUGUUUUUUACAGGGACUGUAAGCCAGGGCUUCGCUAAGGUCUGGCCUAGGGCAAGUUUAGGUGCCUCCUGGGAGGUCAGACUUGCUGUAAGGACUUGAAGGCCCAGAUUCAGCUGACCAAGUUACACCUAAAUCUCAAGGCUUCAUUCCCAAGGACUGCUAUGAAGAGGUGGAAGCCACUGGAGCAGCUUUCAGACAUGGCCAGUGGGGCAAUUCCCUGAUACAGAUACUGGCUCCUUAAAAAGGUUGUGUCUGCCCCUGGUAAUAAGGCGUUCCCUGGGGCUCUCGUGAUCAUCACCAAGGCAAUGCCCUGACUGAGAGGCUGGGGGAUAUCCUGCUCCAAGGUUCAGCCCAGCUGCCGACAGCUCCCUGUUGUAGCAAGAUUGGAUGCAGUGGGAAAUCCCUGCACAUCACCCCCAGCAUCACAUAUACAAGAGAUGGUGAGGUCACCACAGCAAUAGAAAGAGUCUUUCAAAGUCCUCUGUGCCAUCUCGUGGAAAAUCUUAGAUCCACAUCACACCUCAGCUGAAACCCACAGAUUUGCUGCCUGUGGCCCCAGGAGCCUGGGCAAUCCUCUGCACUGCUGAAACAGGCAACAUCCAGGUGUCAAGAAUGCAGCCAGUUCCAAUGUUUUCAUAUCACUUGGCAAAUGCUACAGCCAUGGUUUUUAUUUUUCUAUGGAUGCAUUUUAGGUUUUACUGUUAAAAAAAUUAAAUAUUUAGCUUAAUAAAUGACACCCAAACAAUCUUUUACCUAUGUUUGUACUCAGUGAAAACUAAACCAUUUUCAUAAACAAGCUUGUCGGCAAGUUGUGGGAAAAGGUUAAAAUUAAGCUGUGAAUGCAAACUUUUUCUUCAUGUGAGCAUCUGUAAUGCCUUCAAAAUAGAAGGAAAUUAAAAAACAAUCAACUCAGUAAAAUCA
This is a long non-coding RNA of Lepidothrix coronata (blue-crowned manakin), 2204 nucleotides long. RefSeq lists it as uncharacterized. NCBI's taxonomy places the organism in Eukaryota, Metazoa, Chordata, Aves, Passeriformes, Pipridae. The transcript has 3 exons. The record is from RefSeq and is a predicted model, not a curated record.